This 499-nucleotide ribosomal RNA is filed under the name Haemaphysalis intermedia. RNAcentral describes it as "SSU rRNA". It matches the Rfam family "Eukaryotic small subunit ribosomal RNA", at positions 209 to 702 of the family's 1831-position model. The record is from RNAcentral. Lineage: Eukaryota; Metazoa; Arthropoda; Arachnida; Ixodida; Ixodidae.
AUUAGACCAAGAUCAUCGGGCUUCGGUCCGUAUUGUGUGGUGACUCUGGAUAACUUUGUGCUGAUCGCAUGGCCACGAGCCGGCGACGUUUCUUUCAAGUGUCUGCCUUAUCAACUUUCGAUGGUAGGUUACUUGCUUACCAUGGUUGUUACGGGUAACGGAGAAUCAGGGUUCGAUUCCGGAGAGGGAGCCUGAGAAACGGCUACCACAUCCAAGGAAGGCAGCAGGCGCGCAAAUUACCCACUCCCGGCACGGGGAGGUAGUGACGAAAAAUAACAAUACGGGACUCUUUUGAGGCCCCGUAAUUGAAAUGAGUACACUCUAAAUCCUUUAACGAGGAUCAAUUGGAGGGCAAGUCUGGUGCCAGCAGCCGCGGUAAUUCCAGCUCCAAUAGCGUAUACUAAAGCUGCUGCGGUUAAAAAGCUCGUAGUUGGAUCUCAGUUCCAGACGAGUAGUGCAUCUACCCGAUGCGACGGCUCGGACUGAACAUCAUGCCGGU